ACUCACCUACGGGGGGCAGCAGUGGGGAAUAUUGCACAAUGGGGGGAACCCUGAUGCAGCGACGCCGCGUGGGCGAUGGAGUAUUUCGGUAUGUAAAGCCCUCUCGGCAGGGAAGAAAAUGACAGUACCUGACUAAGAAGCCCCGGCUAACUACGUGCCAGCAGCCGCGGUAAUACGUAGGGGGCAAGCGUUAUCCGGAUUUACUGGGUGUAAAGGGAGCGUAGACGGCAUGGCAAGUCUGAAGUGAAAGCCCGGGGCUCAACCGCGGGACUGCUUUGGAAACUGUUAAGCUGGAGUGCAGGAGG
This 305-nucleotide ribosomal RNA is filed under the name uncultured bacterium. Its description in RNAcentral is "bacterial SSU rRNA". It matches the Rfam family "Bacterial small subunit ribosomal RNA", at positions 333 to 655 of the family's 1533-position model. The record is from RNAcentral.